GCUGGCGGCAUGCUUUACACAUGCAAGUCGAACGGCAGCGGGGUAGUGCUUGCACUACUGUCCGGCGAGUGGCGAACGGGUGAGUAAUAUAUCGGAACGUACCGAGUAAUGGGGGAUAACCAAUCGAAAGAUUGGCUAAUACCGCAUACGUCCUAAGGGAGAAAGCGGGGGAUCGCAAGACCUCGCGUUAUUCGAGCGGCCGAUAACUGAUUAGCUAGUUGGUGGGGUAAAGGCCUACCAAGGCGACGAUCAGUAGCGGGUCUGAGAGGACGAUCCGCCACACUGGGACUGAGACACGGCCCAGACUCCUACGGGAGGCAGCAGUGGGGAAUUUUGGACAAUGGGGGCAACCCUGAUCCAGCCAUGCCGCGUGUAUGAAGAAGGCCUUCGGGUUGUAAAGUACUUUUGUUAGGGAAGAAAAGGGAAGUGCUAAUACCACUUUUUGCUGACGGUACCUAA
Molecule: ribosomal RNA, 459 nt
Filed under: Eikenella corrodens
Lineage: Bacteria; Pseudomonadati; Pseudomonadota; Betaproteobacteria; Neisseriales; Neisseriaceae
Description: bacterial SSU rRNA
Rfam family: Bacterial small subunit ribosomal RNA
Source: RNAcentral